RNAcentral lists this long non-coding RNA (14572 nucleotides) under Capsicum annuum. RNAcentral describes it as "long non-coding RNA (CANN_LNC020601)". The record is from RNAcentral. Lineage: Eukaryota; Viridiplantae; Streptophyta; Magnoliopsida; Solanales; Solanaceae.
GACACUAGUAUGCUCCACAAGUCAUUGCAGGAGUUGAUAGAUAAAGCUGUAAAGACCACUAAGGAAAAUUCACAACUUCACGUAGUUAUUGCAGUUAACUAUAGUGGACAGUAUGAUGUUGUACAAGCUUGUCAAACCAUUGCUCAAAAAGUGAAGGAUGGCAUUGUCGAACCCGAAGACAUCAGUAGUUUCCUAGUAGAGCAGGAGUUACAAACGAACUGUACUGAUUUCCCAUGUCCUGAUUUACUUAUAAGGACUAGUGGGGAGCUAAGACUCAGCAAUUUCUUACUCUGGCAGUUGGCCUAUGCUGAACUGUUCUUUUCACAUUCACAUUGGCCUGAUUUUGGAGAAGCUGAAUUUUUGGAGGCUUUGUGUUCCUUUCAACAAAGGCAAAGGCGCUACGGUAGUCAAGGCUCCUAGCUUUAUGCCAUGAACUUUUGGAUAAUUGUGAGGCUGAGAAAACCUUAUGGAGAACAUUGAAGGUCAGUUCUCAUGAGAAACACGUUUGAGUACUUAAGAGCUAUGUUACUCUGAUCCUUUUUGGAAGAUCCAACACGGGUGUAACAACAUUAGGUUAUGUAUUAGGUAGAAAAUAACGAGGACACACGGCAUCAAUAGGGGAGUUUGGGAACAAGGUAGUAACGAGAGGUAUAACGACACCAAAAGCAUGAUCGGAGGAGACUACCCUUGACAAAAGAGCCGAAAUCAGCAAUUUGGAAAGCGGUAACACCAGAGAGCAUGAAGUCCAAUGAGUGCAGAAGGGCCCGUGUCCACAUGACAUGGCUAAAAGGACAUAAGGACUGAUGUUCAGAUAUUAUCGUACUAACCGCUAACGGCAUUGCCGUGUGGUCAGAUCCCAUUGAAUGAAGUAUUGUAGGGCUCAAGUGGAGCCAUUUAAUUGGCUCAUGCCCAUCAUUUCAACUUCAAGCAAUACAACAAAAAUUCCAUUCACAUUCUUGCUCUCUAAGUUUUCCUUAUUUACAAGCAGUCUUUACUUUACAAUGUGAUCCUUGUCUCAUCGUCCUCUGAGCGAAAGCUCACAUCUCUGGAUCGAGCGUCUGCAUACGGGAAGGAAGCCCAGUAGCUUCAUCUAGCUUGCUAUUUACUUAUUUCGUUGUUCUUGCUUCAUUGUUACUUAAAGAAAUAGCAUUAUUCGACUGCUAAUAACUAAAUCUUAAAAAGCUAUGUGUCCUUGGCCUCGUUCACGACCCAACCAACUGGAUUGUGUGAGCACCUACUCUAAUCCACUUAGAUAGGAGAACUCUUACCACUCAAUUAAGAAACGGAAAAGUCACAAUGAAAUAUCAUGAAAUUUCUUCGAUUAUUACAAGUCUGGUUACAACUCUUUGAAUACAAAAUAAAUACUCUACCUUGAAGAUCUAGUCUAAACUACAAGAGCUACUACAAGGAAAUUCAAAAAAUACAUACUGCUGGAGAACUCCACCGGUAAGCAUGAAACUACUGAUCCUACAAUCACUAUACCCUUGAAAAGGGUAUAACAAGAAUAGUAUCAAUGCAAACAAUAAGUACUGAUAAGCAUCAUUAGUCGACCUGAAUUAAAUCACAUAAAUAUUUGGAAUGAAGACAUGCACUUUAAGAGCUUUAUUAGUCAAACAACCUUCUUCCCCUAAUUCUUCACCUCCCUUAUCUUUUGCCAAUCUCACUAAUACUAAGUCAACUUCUAUAACAUAUUCGACUCUAAUGCACUACCUUUCAAUAGUUUUGUCACCUCUAAUUAGGCAUUUAACUCUCACUUAAUUAUUAACUUCACCUUACAUAACUGCAAUGAUUUUCAACCCUCUUAGUAACCAAUCAGUUUAGACCUUCAAAUGAUCGUGGCUUAGACUAUUCACCAUUUGGGACAACACCCACAUAAUAUAAACACAUGACCAGUUAUUUGCAAAUAAAUACUACCAUGUAUACCUUAACAACUACCUUUACGCUAAUAUAAAUGCAUGCACCAUUCAGCCUUCCUCAAAUAACACCAAAAAAUUCAUUCAAGUUCAAGGCAAUACAGACAAUAAACUAAGUCCGGACCAUGUCUACCGAUUAUUAACCAAGUUAACAAUCAUCACUCAACAACAAGAACUUACACCUUGUCUCCAAUACACAUGUAAGUAGACAACAAGAGAUACCGAUAUAUUUCACAGUAACGAAUAUAAAUUUUGUCCAAAUACCGAUACAUUUCACAAUAAUGAAUAUAAAUUUUGUGAAGAUGUCCAAAUACUGGUACAUUUCAUAAUAAUUAACAAAUAUUACAACAAUCAUAACCACACUUAUACUGUCAACCAGCUUUUAGCAUAACCUCAUUAUAUGCGAUAUUAACACUUAAAUUAUCAUUCAACGAUUUACUUUCUUUGAACAUGCAUUGUAACAAGUAUACGAAGAAACAAUUAAUAUGUACACAUAAAUUAAGUUGAAUUUCAACUACAUUAAACCACCACCUACUUUCGUAUAUUAAUUGAGGGCUUAACUAGGAAUUGCAAUGUCUAAGAUACACAUCCACACAUAUGGUUCACACCCUAAUACGUCCAACCUUCCAUCUUAAGACUGUGUCAUUGCCAAAUGCAUUUCUCCACCUGGCAUCCUUAUUUAAUUUAUACCGAGUUACCAAUCACCGCUAAUUCGACUUCCAUUAGAUUCUAACACAAUCUCUGGGUAUAAUGCCAUUACAACCAUUCGUAAUUGGUUAACAUAAAAAACAAUACACAAUAGUUCAUGUCACAAAAUAUCUCACACAACAUCAAUUCGCAUUCAAACAAACAAGGAUAUGGUGAGAAAUUUCUAGUAGCCAAUUAGAGCUCUAUCUUUUCUCCAACCAGAACAUGAGGCAAGAAGAUUUGCUGCUAAGAGGGCUUUCAUUCAGAUGGCAGGACAGUAUUGGAAAAAUGAGGUGAGAAUGUCUCUCAAGUCUUCAAUUAAUUAAAAGGGAUAAGUGGAUCCCAUAAUAUUAGUGGGUUAAGACCUUCAAACAACUGCACACAGUUGUUCGACAACUGCAUUAGUUGUCCCGAUAAUUUUUCAGUUGUCCAACAACUUUGCACAUUUUUUGAACAACUUCUUUAGUUGUUGAGACAACUUUUAUAGUUCUUGAGACAACUCCUAUAGAUGAAGACAACCUUUACAGUUGUUGGGGCGAAAGUAUAAAAAUAAAAAGUUGGAAAAAAAAAUUAUCACUUGUACCUAAUUUUUAUAAAUUUGAAGGACCUGAUCAACUUAAUUGACAAACUUAUUUGUCACUUUUAAUUGUAAUCUCUUCCUUAACUAAUCAACCAAAGAUGAAAGUAAGAGAGACAAUUCUUAAGAUUCUUUAAUUCCAAAAGCCCAAUUCUUUGCCCAAGAAUUCUUGUUUGAAUCUUCCAUCCGUAAGCCAAUCAAUCGAAAAGACAAGACACGUCGGCCAUCAUUCGAUGUCGCCACUGAUAAAGCAUGCUAGGAAAAGAAAGUCACCCAAGAAGGCAUGUCCAACCAAAACUUCACUUGUUGUAGUCUCCAUGAAUGUGUAUGCCUAUAUUUCAUCAUUCUCCUCCACCGAAAGCAAGAAUGACAUAAUUAAUCGCGUCUGCAACUGAAAUCCAAGCUGACGAAUAAGAAAGUGUUUGGUUUUGUUUAGUCUUUAUUAGCUUGAUCGCAACAUGAGACACAAAUGAAUAAGCUUUUAGAAUGACUUCAAUUAGCAUAUACACAACAUUACCCCAGCCCUUCUUUUGGUAAAUACGGUAUCUCAGACACCUGACCGCUAAUGUGAAGCAUCUGAGAUGGCCACAAAUUAACAACUGUUAUACACUGAAAAUGAGGGAACGCGUCAUCUUUUCUUCGUUUAUGUCUAAUUUCCUUUUACAUUUCCUCAACUUGCUCAAAGUUGCAAUUACCUGUGCCUUCUAUAUGCAUUUAACGCCCUAGUUUAAGCAAGUGAUACAUGUAAAUUGUUAGGAUUUUUGCCGUGAUUUUCUUACCAAAUUUAAGUUUUAUUUUCCUUAGAAAGAAAAUAAAAGUAAUACCAUAAUUACUUUUAAUUUUCAGAAAAGAAAAUAUAAAAUUUUUUCCAUAUUUGGCUAGUUUCUUUCUUGGAGAAAAUAUUUCUCAUACCCAAGGGCGGAGCCAGGCCUUGUUAGGGGAUUCGAUCGAACCCCCUUCGAUGGAAAAAUGCACCAUUUAUAUAUGGUUAAAAUUAUUUUUAUGUAUCUAUAGUAGGUGUUGAACCCCUUUCGACUAGGUUUUUUUCGAAUAUUGAACCCCCUUAGUUGAAAUCCUGGCUUCGCCUCUGCUCAUACCUUAACACAAUAGUAUCUACAAUGUAGUCGCUUAAAGAGAGUUUUGUUUUAGGAGAGAUUUUAUCUCUCAUUAGUUUUGUGCUUUUUAAUAGUAAUUUUUAUAAUAUGUAGGCCAACUGACCAAAACAUAUAAUAAUUUUAUGCUUUUUUAGUAUAGUUUUCUUUAUCGUUUGAUUUAUCGUCUUAUAAUUUGCAACGAAUAGCUUCUGCAUGACGCCCUCUCGAUUUCGAAACCAACAAGUGGUAUCAGAGCUUACGGUUCAAAGAUCCAAAAAUUUGGUGAAAUGAGAUUAAAUAGGUUCAAAGCGGUUUCAAAUCAAGAUGCAACCAGUUUGGUGAUAAUGAAGUUUUUAUCCAACUACAUAUGGAGAACAAGUUUCAACCCUAUUUUUAACAUUCCUACUGCUACAUCUUUAAAAGUAAAAAUAAGAUAUUUUUUAAACCAAUUUUUAACCCAUAAUAUUUUAAAUUUUAUUUUUAAUCAUGACAAGCAACAGUUAUGAAGAUUAUAUCAAGAACAAAGUUCAUGUAUGUGAUGUGAAGAAGGCGGAUCUAGUGAAAAAAAUCAAGCCCAAAAGGGAGAUUUGUUAGGAUUUUUGCCCUGAUUCUCUUACCAAAUUUAAAUUUUAUUUUUCUUAGAAAGAAAAUAAAAGUAAUACCAUAAUUACUUUUAAUUUUCUGAAAGAAAAUAUAAAAUUUUUCCAUAUUUGGCUAUUUCUUACCAAAUUUAAGUUUUAUUUUCCUUAGAAAGAAAAUAAAAGUAAUACCAUAAUUACUUUUAAUUUUCAGAAAAGAAAAUAUAAAAUUUUUUCCAUAUUUGGCUAGUUUCUUUCUUGGAGAAAAUAUUUCUCAUACCCAAGGGCGGAGCCAGGCCUUGUUAGGGGAUUCGAUCGAACCCCCUUCGAUGGAAAAAUGCACCAUUUAUAUAUGGUUAAAAUUAUUUUUAUGUAUCUAUAGUAGGUGUUGAACCCCUUUCGACUAGGUUUUUUUCGAAUAUUGAACCCCCUUAGUUGAAAUCCUGGCUUCGCCUCUGCUCAUACCUUAACACAAUAGUAUCUACAAUGUAGUCGCUUAAAGAGAGUUUUGUUUUAGGAGAGAUUUUAUCUCUCAUUAGUUUUGUGCUUUUUAAUAGUAAUUUUUAUAAUAUGUAGGCCAACUGACCAAAACAUAUAAUAAUUUUAUGCUUUUUUAGUAUAGUUUUCUUUAUCGUUUGAUUUAUCGUCUUAUAAUUUGCAACGAAUAGCUUCUGCAUGACGCCCUCUCGAUUUCGAAACCAACAAGUGGUAUCAGAGCUUACGGUUCAAAGAUCCAAAAAUUUGGUGAAAUGAGAUUAAAUAGGUUCAAAGCGGUUUCAAAUCAAGAUGCAACCAGUUUGGUGAUAAUGAAGUUUUUAUCCAACUACAUAUGGAGAACAAGUUUCAACCCUAUUUUUAACAUUCCUACUGCUACAUCUUUAAAAGUAAAAAUAAGAUAUUUUUUAAACCAAUUUUUAACCCAUAAUAUUUUAAAUUUUAUUUUUAAUCAUGACAAGCAACAGUUAUGAAGAUUAUAUCAAGAACAAAGUUCAUGUAUGUGAUGUGAAGAAGGCGGAUCUAGUGAAAAAAAUCAAGCCCAAAAGGGAGAUUUGUUAGGAUUUUUGCCCUGAUUCUCUUACCAAAUUUAAAUUUUAUUUUUCUUAGAAAGAAAAUAAAAGUAAUACCAUAAUUACUUUUAAUUUUCUGAAAGAAAAUAUAAAAUUUUUCCAUAUUUGGCUAACCUCUUUUUUGGAGGAAAGGUUUUGAAUAUCUAUUAAUAUAGUCGUUUAAAGAGUUUUAUUUAGAUGAGAUUUUAUCUCUCAUUAGUUUUAUGCUUUUUAAUAUUAGGUUUUAUAAUAUGUAGGUCAAUUGGUCAAAAUAUAUAAUAAUUUUAUGCCUUUUUAGUAUAGUUUUUUUCAUCGUCUGAUUUAUCAUCUUAUAGUUUGCAACGAAUAACUUCCGCAUGAUACCCUCUCGAUUUCUUAAGUCGGUUUUCUUAAAUGUUGGAAUCAAAACAAACCAAUUAAAUUGGUUUUUUAUCGCUUUCGAUUUAUCGUUUUUCCUUUAAAUAUACGACAUGCUUGCAACUACCUAUUGGAUUUAACUAUAUUCCUGCAUAACACUACCUAAUCAAUUACCAUUUAAGUAAAGAAGAAAUUAUACAUGUAAUCAAGUUAUUUAUGAAACCUACUCGAUAAAAUCAUAUGCAUAUAGUUCGAGAAUCUAGCUAUUUCAAGGAAUAAACUUUCUUACGAUGAUUUUUUUUUAAUUUGUAUAAAAUUAUGAGUUCUGAAUAUUGUCGGUUUGGUUUGAUUUUCUUGAUUAUUCUUUGCUUAAAUAUUUUGUUUUUUAAAAAGGACAAUUUCUUGUACUAAAGUUUUUGCGAUGCGCAAGGUCCGGUGAAAGACAAACUAUUGUACACAAUCUGAUACCACAUUUCUACUUGCUUAAAAUUAAAUCAAAUCAAAUUUUGUCGAUACUUAAAAUUAAACAUAAAACCACAUCGAACGAAAAAACGUAUGGAUUUCUUUUAUUUGAUUUGAUUCAAUCUUUUGGUUUUGUGUGAACACCUUACGUGAUCGGUGUUAAAAGUGUUUUAUCCGGACUAGAUUUUUGUUUUAUUCUAUUAAUAGCCACAAGUAUAAUUCCGAGGUUUUCUUCUCGCAACAGCCAACUGCAAUUUGGCUGAAAGCGAUAGCAAAUAGGGAUUAUUUCUAUUGUUAUGAAAGCUCUAAGCAUAUUUAUUUCUAUUGCACUAAACAGAUAUAUUAGAGGUUUAUUUUAACCUUCUUUAGCAAAAAAUUAUAUUAUUUAUACAUAAUUAAAAUUAUUUUUUAGGUAUGUAUAGUAGAUGGUGAACUUCCCUUCAGCUAGUUCGUGUGUGUACUUUUUUUAGAUUUUGAACUUUCUUAAUAAAAAUCUUGACUCCGCCACCAAAUAUAUGGGUCCGGUUUCAUUUAAGUUUCGUCAAUUCUUUUUUUCCAGCACCUUCGGAUUUGCUUUUAUCUAUGAACUAGUUUCUUAGCCAUACACGUUACGAUUGGUGCCUUGUCAAUAUGUACCAAAAUUCUAGAACUCACGUUAGAAAUUAUGUUGGAGAAAAUUACAUAAAAAGUAGCAACAAAAUUCCUUCAAAGGAAAAAGCCAUGCCAGGAUAAUGAAUUUGAAAAUGCAUGCACCAUAUAUUUUUUUUACCAUAGAAAAGAACUACUGCUCAUUAUUAAUACAAACCAAAUUCUUCCCUACAUCGAACUUGAUAGAUGAGAUGCAAAAUAUAUUCACCAUGAAAAAUGAUAGAAGUUUAAGACAUUUCGUAAUAUUAAUAUUAUGAAGAAAUUGCAAGCUUUUCUUAGUGAAAAUUCAAAAAGAUGUUGGUUGCAGAAUCAUAUAAUUUAAAACCAUUUAUAAACCAAAAUAACGCUAUAAUUCAAGGUCAUAUUAUAAAUACAUCAUAUUGUUAAGUCCAUUACACAGUUUUCCGCAUUAGUAUGAAAUCAAGUAGAUAAAUUAUAUUGUUAAGUCCAUUACACAGUUUUCCGCAUAAGUAUGAAAUCAAAUAGAUAAAUUAUAAGUAACUCAAAAAAGCAGCUUCGUGAAAAAUCGUGGAGCAGUUUCCUCAAGCUUGCAAUCGAAAAUAGUGGCAAGUAGCUUCAGAGGCAGCUAUGCAAGCAGCUUUAUCAAAAGCAUCACAUGAAUUAUUUUUGCUAUAAAGGAAGUUAAUUCAGUUGAUAUUGUAUGCAUCAAAGUUUUAAGAGAAAUAAAAUAUAUAUACAUAUAUCUCAGCCCCCAAACUUCAUUGACUAUAUAUCUUAUUAUCCUUUAUUCUAUUACUGUUAUUUUAUAACAGGCCGAACUUGUUAUUUUCUCAAAAAUUUCCUUUCGUUAUCAUUGUUUAUGAGAUAAGGAUAUCAAUACAACUUAAGUAGCAUAAAAGGAUACAGUCAUGAAUAUAACUAAUUUAAAAAUUAGGAAAAAUGAGGUAACUGACACAUAAAAUAGAAAAACAAUGAAGUACGUAAAUAACUAACAUACAAACUUGUCAAUUUGUAGAUUACAUAUUCUUUUAGACUUCUUUUUUGGUACAUAAAAACUAAAACAAAGAGUUAUGUGGCCAAGAGAGCCGUUCGUUUCUUGUCAAUAUUGCACAACACAAGUCUCGCAAGUCAUCUUCGGAGUUGCCCUAAUGAUACGUACUGUUCACUUUAAAUUUAAGUUUGUUAAUUCGAGUCAUCAAAAAGCAAAGGAGCUAGAAGGGUUUAAAAUAAAAAGUCAUAAUACAUAAAUGUAUUUUUUAACUUUGGCCUCAACUGACGUUUAUAUCUUCCAACUUUGAGUGUACAUAAAUAACAUUUAAAUUUGUGUAAAGUUGAAUAAGUAGCCACAUGCAUCCUACGUGACAUUCUACACGGCAAUUUGCAUCUUACAUAACAUAUGCAUGUGUCAACUUGUUAAAGUUAAAACAAGACUAAGUAUCUUAUGCAUAUUCAAAAUUAGAGGACAUAAAUGUCAACUUAAGCCAGAGCUAAAGAGCACACAUUUAUGUAUUAUGUGGGAAAAAAAAUUCAUCUCUCUCCAAUCUUCAAAUCAUAAAUAGGUGAGAAAGAGCCCUUUUGGCCAUUCAAAAAAAAUGGCCUUCUCACUGCAUCUCCAACAAAUCUUCCUUUCAUCCACUACAUUUUCCUCCCAACCUAAAUCUCAAAUCUUCCCAAAUUUGAUAAAAAAAACUUCCAUUCCUCCACUUAUCGUCAAGAGCUCACUUAAUGCUUCGGCUUCGACUUCGGCUGCUGAGAAGGAAAUCCGGUUGCCUCCAGAGCUGAGUCGAGAACUGAUGCCUAAACAUGUAGCGGUGAUAAUGGACGGCAACAGAAGGUGGGCUAAGAAUAGAGGACUGCCAGUUGCCUUAGGUUAUGAAGCCGGUAUUCGAUCUGUUAGGAAGCUUGUUGAGCUGUGUGGAAACUGGGGAAUUAAUGCUCUUACUCUAUUUGCUUUUUCCUCUGAAAAUUGGUCACGUCCUAAAGUAAACUCUAUCACUUCCCUCCCUUUUCUUUUAAGGGUACUUUGUGUCUGGUAUGAAGGAAACUAUUAGGCCUCGUUUGGUCGAAAGCAAGUUAUUUUGGAGAUUAGUUAUCUUAUUUUCAAGGUGGCAUAGAAAUAACACUACAAUUCUGAGAUAACUAAUUCCUGAAUGAGUUAUUGCAUGUAUUUUACUCCAAACAAAAAUAGGAUAUGCUUGUCUUGAAAUUAGUUCUGCGAUUAGUUAUUUCUUGCACCAAACGACUCCUUAUUAUAUUUUCUUUUUUCUAUUUUCCCAUAUUUGGUUGUACAAAAUUUUAAAAAAUAUUUUCUAUAGAAAAAUAAGUUCCUUAAAAAUGUGAAAAAUGACUUCGAAUUAGAAGAAACAAAUUGUAUGAGUGACAUCCUAUGUUUAUUUAUAUCCUCCUAUCCACCUGGCGCCUCCAACCCCUAAUUAUUUUAUCAUGAAUUUUCUUUUACUUACUUAACGAACACUAAAAAUUGAUUGCAUUUUUAAUUUACUCCUUUUAAUUCUAUUUUAAUUUAUUAUUACUUUCUACAUUUUAAUUUUUUUAUUUUUAUUAUUCUACAUAUUUUUUUAAAAAUAUUUUUUAUUUAUAUUUCAUUUCCUUUUCAUUUUUCAACCUUUACUUCUUGUGAUUUCAUGUAAUUUUCGUAUUCUCGCUUUUUUAUUUAUUUUAUGUUAACUUUUUUUUCAUUUGGCAUAAUUUAGUUCGUAUUCUAAUUUUAAAUUAAGUAGGACUCAUUGUUUAAUAAGGUUAUAGACUUGAUUUUUUUUUUUAUAUUUGAAUCAUAUUUAAGUACGUUAUGCUGAAAUUUGACAUAAGAGAAUUAUUUUAUUUUUACCAAAAUUUUUUAACUUAAUGUUAUAUUUUCAGUUUCAAUUCAUUUGCUUUACUAGUAUUGACUUUAAUUUGAUAUUUUACAUGCAAACCAUUCAUUUUUUAGUCAGAAUUGAUAGAUUAUCUUUUUGUCAAAUAUUUUAAUAGUUUAAUGACAUUCUUUUGUCAAACAUGCAUUUCAUGAUGUUUUUCAAAAUCAUGUACUUUAAAUUUUUAUGAUUAAUUUUAUUGAAAUAUACUAUUCUGAAAAAUAUAAAUCAAUUAUUUUUAAUAAGAACAUAUGUUUAUUAAUUAAUUAAUAUAUUUUGAAAGACUAUAUAUAUAUAUAUAUAUAUAUAUAUUAUUUUUAAAGGUCCUUAUUUGUCUAAUAUAAUCUUCACUUAUUGACAAUUAACUUUUAUUUUAUAAAUCUAAUAUAACCAUGCAAUUAUAUUUCUAUAAUCAAACAAAACACUUGUAAUUACAGUGUAACUAUAUUGUGGCAAAUAAAUAAGUGAUCAUAAUUACUUGACUGUGUAAUCACUAGGCUGGUAAUUACUAUCCUAAUAAUUAGACUAAUUUCAAUUACCAAGUCGCGUUUCAAACAAAUCCUGUUGAAUACUGAUACUUUUGUAUUUGUCGUUGUUGAUCGUUUUUCUUUUGUGUUGUUUCGUUUAUGUUAUAGGUGGAAGUUGAUAUUUUGAUGGGCUUGUUCGAAAAAAUGCUGAAAAGUGAACUUGAAACUUUAGCCAGGUAAAUGGUAUAUGCUUGAUAUGGAAUUGCCAUAUCAAAACCAAAAUUUGAAGAGUUUAAGUUUUGUGCUAUGUCAGUGCAUAAAAUAUUUUAUACUAUCAGUUAACUUGAUCUGAUAUUACAGGUUAUUCAAUUAUUUAUAUAAAAAAUAAAAAAUUAGGUAAUCUGCAAUAGCAAGUCAAGUUUACCUGAUAGUGUAGAAUAUUUUGUACAUUGACAGUGGACAAAACUUAAAUUCAAAUUUGAAACGCGAUUUUAGUAUAUGGUAUUUCGUUUUCAUUUUGAAUUUUUUUGGUAUUUGAUACUCAUAAAAAAAAAGUCUGAAACAUCAAAUAUAUAUAUAGUUACACAUACAAUUUACGGAAAAAGGCCAGUAAUACUCUUCAAGGAUUGAAAUUGGUUCAAAAAUACCCUCAGUUAAUCUAUUGGGCCAGAAAUACCCUUCAAGUAUUGAAAUUGGUUCAAAAAUACCUCUUCAUCCAUCUUUAUGACCCAAAAAUACCCUUGCAACUAACAGUUUUUUAAAUCAUAAUUAAAAUUUUGAAAAAAAGGUCAGAAAUGCUCUUCAAGUCUUGAAAUUGGUUCAAAAAUACCCUUCCAUCCACCUUUAUGUCUCAAAAAUACCCUUGCAACUAACGAUUUUUAAAAUCAUAAUUAAAAUUUUUAUUAAAUUUGUGACAAUAUUCUAUUGAUCGAAACUAAAUUGAUUAAAAUAUUAAGCCCAAUUCGGACUCAAUUAAAACUACUCAAUCCAAACCCUACAAAAUUAAUCUUAAUUUUAAUCUGUGAAUGGUGUGAAGUGUGUGGCGUGAAGCGAUCUUGCAUCGGGAAUGCGCUUGUCAAUGGUGGCAAGACAAUUUGAUGUAUAUAAACAAAAAUAGUGAUAACUAUUUAGGAAAUAAUAUAGUAUUUUUUUUUUUACAUAAACUAAAUGUAUCACGUAAAAUGAAAUGGAGAAAGUAACAAGACAGUGUUGCCUAAGACGUGGCAUAACGAAGACAUCUCAAUUAAUUUUGCUAGCUAACAUAGAUAAAUAUACGUCACAAAGAAAUACUAAACUAGCAUUAUAAUUAGCGAAUAGAAUUCUUCACAACAUUACAUUAGACUGAUAGAUUCUAAGUCAAUAAAGUUCCUGCAUUUGAUAACAAAAAUUACUCAUACUACCAGGUAGUUUUAGUUGGGCAAAUUUUGUACGAUUUGAGUCGAAUAGUUUGAGUUGGGUCUGGAUUAAAUUUAACAUUUUAAUUAAUUUAGUUUUAACUAAUAGAAAGUUGCCACAUAUUUAAUAAAUAUUUUAACUAUGAUUUAAAAAAGUGUUAGUUGAAAGGGUAUUUUUGAGCCAUUAAGGUGGAUGUAGGGGUAUUUUUGAACCAAUUUCAAUACUUGAAGAGUAUUUCUGACUCUUUUUUGAAUUUUAAAUUAUGAUUUUAAAAAACCGUUAGUUACAAGGGUAUUUUUGAGUCAUAAAAGUGGAUAGAGGGGUAUUUUUGAAUCAAUUUCAAUAAUUGAAGGGUAUUUUUGGCCCAAUAAAUUAACAGAGGGUAUUUUUUUUUAUCAAUUUCAAUACUUUAACAGUAUUUUUGGCCCUUUUUCGUACAAUUUAUAUACUAUAUUAGAGUGAAGGGUCAUUUUUUUUUUUUAGUUAAGUUCAACUAUGAACUUUUAUAAUGUAGGAAAAGUGAAAAAUUAAUAGUUUAAGUGUAUUUGCUAAAUAGUUGGUGAUAGUUCAGAUGUGAUCGCAUAUUUGCUAGUUCGGAUGUGAAAUUAAAAAAAUCGAAAUACUUUAAAUGUGUCUUUGACCAUUAACUCUCUAUUAUAAUACUAACAAAUAUAUAAACUAAUAUUACUGCACACCUAAUUGCUUAGACAUUGACACUUUGACUAUCCUAUCUUGAUUGAGAUGUUCUUUUUUAUUUUAAUUGAUUAACGAAAGGAACUGUUCUUACUUUCUUUUGGAUAUUUCUCUAUGUGUAAGGUAUUAGUAUGAUAUAAUUAAGAUGUUUCUUGAAAAGUCGAAAUUAAAUUUUUCUAUUAUAUGAGUAUAUAUAAGUCAAAGUCGAACAAACUAUGAUUAUCGAUUUAUCGUACUGCAAAAUGUCGAAAUCAACUUAAAAAUAGUUAACCAUACCAAAUUAAUUUGUUAUGCUAAUAAUAUAGUACUCAUCUUUUUAAAAUCAAAAAUUAAAAUUACCGAAUUGAAUUUUUCAAUAUCAUACCAUGUCCACCUCUACCGUUGACCGACAUACGUACGUUUCUCUAGUAGAGGCGGAUUUGCUCAACUUCUUACGCGUUAGCUUUGACCCAAAUCUUCUAUUUGUGUUAAAGAUGUAUAUAUGUAUAGAUAAUCUAUCUCGUAGUAGUAAAAGUGCUAUGACUUUAAAAUUUAUAAAUUUAAAAUUCUAAAUGCAGAUCUUUUCUUUUUUUAAAUAUUUGUAGUAUCUUCUAUAUCGGUUCGUGGCUGUCUUUUGUCAAACCUGUGAACAAUGUGUUAGUUAAUGCACUUCCUAGGAUCGCACAAGGGAAACUAAUCCCAAUAUACAUUUUUUCAUUAUAACUCAUACAAAGUUUUAUUUGCAACAUAAAACUUUGGAUUACUAGUGUAAUAUUGCAUCAAUAAUACAUUUACUUCCGGUGUAAAAUUCUACUUCACAAAUACAGCGUUUUUCUUUUUUUUGCUUUAUGCUUUACAAAAUGUGGAACAAUAAAUAUUUUUUAGCAAUACCCAAAUAAGUCAUAAGAGUAUCUAAAGACAAAAAUGCUCUUAAAACAGACAAUUCCCAUAUUAAAAUCUCCGCAUUACUUUUCACCGUAUAACUAUCUCUAUAUUAUUAUUUCAGUGCAUAGCAUCAUUGUAUUGUAGUUUUAUAUAACUAGUCCGUAAAUCAAAUGACCAAUUAGUUCACAAUUUGGUUUAUAAUGCUAUAGUUAUAGUAAUUCUUAUUGUUUGGUAUACUACAAUUUUUUAGUAUUACCUCACACGUCAUAAGUGCUUUGGUAAGAUCAUUAAUUAGUUGAAAUUGCUGUCAAGAUGAACGCUUAACGUGUUAAAAUUGGUCGAUUGAAAACUUUUGACUAUUAUUUAUGCAAUUGCUUUGCUAAGAUCAUUGAUUAGCUGAAAUUACUGUCCAGAUCAAUUCUUAACGCGUUAAGACUGGUUGAUCGAUAACUUUGAUCGCAGAGGUUCAUUGUGUUUAUAAGUCCAGCUUCAUUGGUACCAAUACUUAUUUGCACUGUAUGCAUAUUUGAGGUAUUAUGAUUGACUUUGUAUAUUCUCAGGAGUUCCCUUAUAUGGUUCAUUGGAUUUAUACAGCGCAGGGAUUCGACUGUCCAUAAUUGGGGACUCCAGUAAGCUCCCCAAGUCAUUGCAGGACUUGAUAGAAAAAGCUGUAAAGACCACUGAGGAAAAUUCUCGACUUCACCUCCUUGUUGCAGUUAACUAUAGUGGACAGUAUGAUGUUGUACAAGCUUGUCAAACCAUUGCUCAAAAAGUGAAGGAUGGCAUUAUCGAACCCGAAGACAUCAGUAGUUUCCUAGUAGAGCAGGAGUUACAAACGAACUGUACUGAUUUCCCAUGUCCUGAUUUACUUAUAAGGACUAGUGGGGAGCUAAGACUUAGCAAUUUCUUACUCUGGCAGUUGGCCUACACUGAACUCUACUUUUCUAAUGCACAAUGGCC